RNAcentral lists this unclassified non-coding RNA (437 nucleotides) under uncultured Bartonella sp. RNAcentral describes it as "partial 16S-23S ribosomal RNA intergenic spacer". The stretch from base 91 to 164 matches the Rfam family "tRNA". Lineage: Bacteria; Pseudomonadati; Pseudomonadota; Alphaproteobacteria; Hyphomicrobiales; Bartonellaceae. The record is from RNAcentral.
CCCUCCAUAAUAAAUUGAAAAGGGUCCUUUGGGGAAAAGUUUUCCCUUUGCUAAGAUGAAGCCGGGGAAGGUUUUCCGGUUUAUCCCGGAGGGCUUGUAGCUCAGUUGGUUAGAGCGCGCGCUUGAUAAGCGUGAGGUCGGAGGUUCAAGUCCUCCCAGGCCCACCAAUCAUUCUAUCAAUCUAUAAGCGCUUGUGGAAAUUGCUCAUAGAAAACUUUCUUUAUUCAUUUAUGAAAAAUCUCCUUAUAGAGAGAGACGCUUUUCCCUUUGGGUUUGAAAACUCAAAAUUAAAGGUGUUAAAGUGGCUUUAAAGGAAAAGUGACAAAGGAUAAGGAAUAAUGAUUUAAGUUAUCCCUUUUUGGUGAUCUUGAUUUGGGUGUUUUGAAUGCGUUAUGUUUUUUAGGGGGGCCGUAGCUCAGCUGGGAGAGCACCUGCUU